GACAGUAAAAAUAUUUAUCUCGGAGACAACAUUGAAUGUUGAUUUUUGAAUGAGGAAGGUUCACACAUGCGCAGUGGUUGUAGCAGUAGCACUUUGCUUCUCCCAACUGUCACUGCCGCACAUGGCGCGAAAACCGGAGAAGAAUGGAGGUUUCAGCUGCUCCAGAAGUUAUAGGAUUCAGGAAUUAUACUGACUGAAGAAGAGACAAAGAGAUUCAGAGAUUUACAUUUUCUCACACUCUACAUUGUCACCUGGAGUCAGCUCUGUAACCGUGGCCCCAAGUUUUUGUGGAAAUGGCUGAGACCGAUUUCCUCAGUGCCAUGGAGAGAACGACAGUGGGGAUCUAUGUUGUGAAAGACACUGCCAGCAGUGAACCCUCUGAUGUCAGGAUAGUCCUCGAAGGUGUGAUGGUGCUUCAAGAUCUUGAGAAUGUAGCACUUGCUUCUGCAAUGUUGUUUGGGCUCUUAUGCCUUGAACAUGCAGCACCCUACAAAGCUCCGCUACACCUUUGAGGCAUUUCAAAAGAUCAUCAUGGAGCCUCAGCAUCAGACACUUAAUAAUAUGAGCCUGUCAGCUGCAAAAACAGAACUUUUAGUGACACUAACUGACCAUGCACAGUUGCCCUAUAUAACGUUGCAGCCCGGUUCACAGCAAUCUUGCUCAAUGCUGGACCAAUUUUCAUGAAUUAACCACUAGAUAGCCUAAAUUUAUAUUGAUUGGCUGUAAAUGUAGCUGUUUUUUAAGUAUGCUUGUUUUUCCACUGUCCAAUUAACGUUUUUAUAUCUAUAAUUUCUUUAAAUUGACUGAUU
Long non-coding RNA from Osmerus eperlanus (European smelt), 809 nucleotides. RefSeq lists it as uncharacterized. The transcript has 3 exons. NCBI's taxonomy places the organism in Eukaryota, Metazoa, Chordata, Actinopteri, Osmeriformes, Osmeridae. The record is from RefSeq and is a predicted model, not a curated record.